GGAGGCAGGGCUCUGGCUGGCCAAGCUGGAGAGAGAGGCUCUGGCAGGAUGGCUGAGCGACAAGGGCUCUGGCUGGCUGACCAGAGCCUGAAGUUUGGAGGAAGAAAGAGAAGACACACGGGCAUCCUGGAGGACAGCUGCUAAGAUGUUAGAACAUUAAAAACCCCAUAUGCAGCCUACCAACCUCCUGGCCAGAGAGGAUCUGAAGGGUAAAGGAAAAGCAAAGAAAUAAGGAUGUGCAAACAGAAUAGGAAAGUACUUGGAUGACUGCCCUAUAAUGAAA
This is a long non-coding RNA of Melopsittacus undulatus (budgerigar), 283 nucleotides long. RefSeq lists it as uncharacterized. The record is from RefSeq and is a predicted model, not a curated record. The transcript has 3 exons. Lineage: Eukaryota; Metazoa; Chordata; Aves; Psittaciformes; Psittaculidae.